This 253-nucleotide ribosomal RNA is filed under the name uncultured bacterium. RNAcentral's name for it is "partial 16S ribosomal RNA". It matches the Rfam family "Bacterial small subunit ribosomal RNA", at positions 524 to 776 of the family's 1533-position model. The record is from RNAcentral.
GACGAACCGUGCGAACGUUGUUCGGAAUCACUGGGCUUAAAGGGCGCGUAGGCGGGCCGCCGCGUCCGGGGUGAAACCCCCCCGCUCAACGGGGGAACGGCCUCGGAUACGGGCGGCCUGGAGGCGGGUAGGGGCACGCGGAACUGUGGGUGGAGCGGUGAAAUGCGUUGAGAUCCACAGGAACUCCGGUGGCGAAGGCGGCGUGCUGGACCCGAUCUGACGCUGAGGCGCGAAAGCCAGGGGAGCGAACGGG